GAGAAAUAAAGUUUCUCGCAGAGUAUUGCUUCACUGCUAUGCACGUCUUUCAAGGGAAUAGCACUUCAUUCUCAUAUGUACUGUCAGUAUUAUGAAAAGGCAUAAUUUACAGACUUCCUUCAAAGAGGGCUACGUGCAAUGCGAGGAAUGUGUUCAAUGAUUAGAGGUGAUGGUAGAACUUUGGUUUGAAUUUGGUAGAGUUGCCUAGUUUAGUAAUUUACUGUAAAGAUAGACACAAUUUUGUCAAAGUGACAAGGAGUAUGAAAUAGAGGGGGAAGAAGAGGCCUUCUUAACGGUAUAUAAUUACCCACAUAACUAAGUACCCAUUUUGAGUAACUAUUUGUAAUUUCAUUGGUGGAGCUCAUUUAAAUAAGUUGACUGCUGGCUAGCAUACUGUUUUGAAGGACCAGUGAAGAACCCUACAGUUCAAUAUGCAAUGAAGAAAUAACUGCACUUUUGUACGAUAUGAGCAUGCUGCUGCUGUGAGUAUUUCGCAAAUACAUAUUUAUGCGCAUUACUUGCACCCUCAUGUAAUUUGCUGACCCCUAAGAUUUUGACAGCUUCACUAAAAAAAAUAUAUGAGUGCGUAUUUUGCACUUCCUAAUCCUGCUGAGCCAGCUCGCUGGCAUGCCCACGAACAAUGAUAAUGCUAUCUAGUCAGACUUCUCAGCCAGUAAUAUCAACUGACAGCGCAUGAGCGUAACUGUCCGGCUAAAGAAGGGGCUGAUUAUGUUAAAUAAAUGAGUGCUCUUCAUUUUUGCUCCAAUUAUUUUUUAAUGUAUAAAUCACAUAUGUUACGACUACAGUGAACUUCCCAAUAAGUGAACUUUAAGGGAUCCAUGGAAAUAGUUCACUUAACUGAAACUUGACUAAACUGCAGUAGAAUAACAUCAUAGGGCACAACAGAAAUCGAGUAAAAUAUGUGAAAUGCACUUUGAAAAGAGUUCUAUAAUUUUUACUUUUACUGGCACCCUUAAUGUGUAAGAAAGGACCAAGUGGUUCACAGAGUGUACAUUUUUGUACACUGCCUUUAUUUAGCACAGUGUGUUGCUGUGACACGAAAUCUCGCAACUUUUAAUAUACCCUACAGUCUCUGUUACAGAUCAACCUGCCUCAGCCAUUACAACUUCUUCGUCGCACUUCGUCGAAAGAAAAGUUCUUUCGGUGUCGGGCAAACAGUGGAAACAAUUUCCAAUUCUCAUAGCUCUGCUCAGGUACUGAAGCGUAUGGGACAUGUUUUAGUCUGCCCCAGGCCACCUCGCAUCGACAGUGCUGCAUGUACGGGCGAUGUUGCGCCGCCACCGAUAAGUCGGGGAUUUGAUGGCGGGACCCAUUGGCUAAGCCUGCAGAGCACAAAACUGCAUUGAUUUAUCUCAAGAAUGAGCCAGGGUCUGCAGAUGAAGUUUGUUCAGCUGAAAUACUCAUUAUUCGAAUUUUUUUAAACUGAAAGAUUUUCGCAUGGAAUGCAUAGGAAAACUGCCAGGGAUUUUCCAAAGGUUCAUUGUUCUGAAAUAUUUCUUCAAGUGAUGUUCAUUCAAAUGAGAGCUCACUGUAUAUACACAUUAUUUCAAGAGCAUUCGUGAAGCCUCUGCGUCAUUUCACACGCCCUUUUCAGAGCUCCAAAAUCGCUAAAGAAAAAGUGCGCAAUUUAUGCAAGUAAAUACGGCAACUGUGUGAUCAAAUAGGGAAGCUAGAGGGUAUAGAAUAGAACAACAUGCUUCAGCUGGUUUUGGUGUUGUGCUCGGCCUUGACACCUUUCUCUGCCGCGAAGAGGGCAGGUGUAGCCCAUUGUCGCAACUGUGCCCACUUCUGCGCUGAGCACGACAUCGGUGAUUUCGUCAUCAGCAUACAGCCAACGACCAAGCACGGCUUCCUCUGUGUGUCAGUCAUGCCUGAGCAGUGCGAUGAAGAAGCACAGUGCAAAAGGUGGGAGUCAUUAAGGAGGCAUUGGCAAGAUUGGUUCAUUCCUUCCAUGGAGCACCCAAAAAUCUGCGAGCUUCAGAAAUGGCCUGAAAUGAAUUGCAUCAGAGUCUUAGAAACUAUUCAUCCAUUUCCGGUGUUAUGUCUGCGUGACCUCUUAUGAACUCAGAAUUGUGACAGUGAUGUGACAAUGUUUACUAGCGGCAGCCUUUGGCUGGGUUAUAUUGAAUUGUGUGAAGUUGGAUGUUCCCAUUUUACUCUUUUGGUCUAUUGCAUAUCUUUAUACUAAAAAAUUAAUUGGGAAUCGUGAUAAUAAAGAGGUCCUGUGCUUACAGUCAA
This is a long non-coding RNA of Rhipicephalus microplus (southern cattle tick), 2259 nucleotides long. The record is from RefSeq and is a predicted model, not a curated record. NCBI's taxonomy places the organism in Eukaryota, Metazoa, Arthropoda, Arachnida, Ixodida, Ixodidae.